This 95-nucleotide microRNA precursor is filed under the name Megaselia scalaris. RNAcentral describes it as "mir-7 microRNA precursor". Lineage: Eukaryota; Metazoa; Arthropoda; Insecta; Diptera; Phoridae. The record is from RNAcentral.
AUUCACGUGAAAAUUGGAUGAUUUGCGAUAUUCUCGUCAUAUAUCAUAUUAUUAUAUGACGAGAAUGUCGCAAAUCACGUUAUUUUCACGUGAAA